GACGAACGCUGGCGGCGUGCCUAAUACAUGCAAGUAGAACGCACAGUUUAUACCGUAGCUUGCUACACCAUAGACUGUGAGUUGCGAACGGGUGAGUAACGCGUAGGUAACCUGCCUGGUAGCGGGGGAUAACUAUUGGAAACGAUAGCUAAUACCGCAUAAUAUUGAUUAUUGCAUGAUAAUUGAUUGAAAGAUGCUAUUGCAUCACUACCAGAUGGACCUGCGUUGUAUUAGCUAGUAGGUGAGGUAACGGCUCACCUAGGCGACGAUACAUAGCCGACCGGAGAGGGUGAUCGGCCACACUGGGACGGAGACACGGCCCAGACUGCUACGGGAGGCAGCAGUAGGGAAUCUUCGGCAAGGGACGAAAGUCUGACCGAGCAACGCCGCGUGAGUGAAGAAGGGUGUCGGAUCGGAAAGCUCGGUUGUAAGAGAAGAACGGGUGUGAGAGUGGAAAGUUCACACUGUGACGGUAUCUUACCAGAAAGGGACGGCUAACUACGUG
This 505-nucleotide ribosomal RNA is filed under the name uncultured bacterium. Its description in RNAcentral is "partial 16S ribosomal RNA". It matches the Rfam family "Bacterial small subunit ribosomal RNA", at positions 28 to 507 of the family's 1533-position model. The record is from RNAcentral.